Molecule: non-coding RNA, 2344 nt
Organism: Hydra vulgaris (swiftwater hydra)
Lineage: Eukaryota; Metazoa; Cnidaria; Hydrozoa; Anthoathecata; Hydridae
Source: RefSeq, a predicted model, not a curated record
CGAUUUUGUUUAAAUCAAUGUUUAAAUCGCACGCUUUGAAAUUUAAAUAAAUGGAAAAUAAAUCUUUCAAAAAUUUUUAUUUAAUCAUCUAUAAAAAUGUAUAAAAAAAAGUACGGAAUAAACGACGAGGAAAAAGCUGAAAUCUUACCGUUAACAAAAGCUGAAGGAGAUAUAAUCAAUUUUGACCCUAAAUAUCCUUUCGGUAAUCCUUCUAUUAUUCCUAAAUUUUGGGAAGAGGUAAGAGAUGAAUACAAUGCUGGGAAAAAUGGGCUUAGUGCCUCUCAAGCUCAAAGAAAAAUCCGUCUUUUGUACUUGCAGCAAACUAUUUCAAAAAAUGAUGAUAUUUUAGUUCAUCUUUUAAGAGUCAUUCCUGAUAAGUUUAAAAGCGUUGUUAAUGGAGAUAUUAAGUACACCAAUUUAGUGUUUGAGAUCAAUGAGUUUGUCAUUCUUAUUUUGGAAGAAGACUCUAAGAAAGAACGGAGAGAAAGAAAGUAUGAUAAACUUUUAAAGAUUGACAACUCUAGGAGAACAAUUUUGCAUUUAGCAGCAGAACAAGAUUUAGAUAUGGUAGUUGAAACAAUUAUAUUGUUUUACCCAAGCCUUGUUAAUGUAUCAACAAAUAUUGCAGGUUUCAAUGACAAUCCUUUAUGCAUUGCGCUCAGCAAAUUUUAUGAUAGAACAGCAAGUUUACUUGUUAAAUCUAUGGAUAGUUACAGUGUUCGGUGUUUAUUUGAAACUAAUGAUUCAGUUGAGGCAAGAUUUCAUUUUAAAGACUACAUUGAUCCUAAAGAAAAUAUUUCAAUGAAGCUAACAGUUUUGGCUAUUCUUGAGAAACUUAUGAAUCCUUACUGGCCAUUUCAGCCUAUUAAUCAAGCUGAGAAAGAAAUUGAAUGGUAUGACAUGCCAAAAGCUCCGUUGUCUCAUCAUUUUUUCUUCCAAUUGUUGGAUGGAGAUGACAAAGGAAAUGCCCCAGAGAAUAAUAAUAAAAGAUUUAAUUACCGAAGUAAAUCAUGCUUACACCUCAUAGCUCAUUCAUCAAGUUGCAGAGAGGCAAUUCAACAUCCAGUUGUUAGAUUAUUAGUAAAAAGGAAAUGGAAUGAUUACGGUCAGAACAUAAUGAGGAUUAACGCUGGUCUGUACCUAAUUUUUCUUCUAUUGUUCUCUUUUGCUCUUUUUUUACAACCUUCAACUCAGAGAAUGCGCAUUUUUUGCAUGUUUUGUGAAAUUGGCACAAUUUUGUUUACUUUCUUUUAUAUCCUAUUGGAAUUGGAUGAAGGAGACAAGCAUUGGCUGAUUUACUUCAGUGAUUAUACCAACUACAUUGAUAUAUUAGGAUUGGGAACUAUAUUGCUCAUCAUUCCGUUUCGCUUUGCUAAGUUGUUUCAUAUUGAAUGGAUUAUUUCAGCAGUUGCUUAUUUUAUAAACUGCUUGAGGCUGUUUCAGUAUUUCAUAGUAAUCAAGGAACUUCACAUCUACUAUCGUACCUUUCACAUAAUAAUUGUUGAAGAUAUUAGAAAGUUUGCUGCUUUGUUUCUGGUAAUUAUACUUGCUUUUACAGGAUCUAUCACUAUGGCACUAAAAUCAACAGCUGAAUUGCAUAAAGUUGGAGGAUACUGGGGUAUAUUUUUUAAAGAAAUACGUGGUUUGGCUGAGUCUCAAGGUUUUUCUGAUGACUACAGUAACAUCAAUGUUAUUGUGGUGAUUUUUUUGAUGUGUAACAUGUUCUGCACUAUGGUUGUUCUUCUUAAUAUUUUGAUUGGUCAAAUAAGCAAUCGAUAUAAUGAAGUCCAAUCCAUGGCUAAAGUUCAGUAUGAUAUUGAUAAAACAAAGUUUAUAACUAAGAUUGACAACUCAAGACUGUGUGGGAAACUUCGCAUUCGAUAUUACCAAAAUGGCGGUUAUACAACAAGUUCUUCAGAAGAAGACGGAAUAUUGACCAAAUGAAUCCUAAACUUGAAAAUAGAACAUAUUAUAUAUUUUCCAAUGGUUUGUUGGCUUCUUCAAUAUAAAUUGUUGCCAAGAAAUAAUCACCAUGUUAAUUAGUUAGAGUCUGGGUGCUUAUUUUACAUAAGAUGUUGUCAUCAGAAAAAAUCAUGCUAUCUUUUUGAUUAGGCCGUUGAUAAAAAAUUUCUCCAAAAGAUAAUCUUUUUAUGCAGUCAUUUAAAUACUUGUGAAUGGAACAAGCAGUUCAAUUCACAGUUCAAUUGAUGGUUUAAUCGAAUGGUUGUUGUAUAGCAUUUUAAUUCUCUUUCUCCAAUUUCAUGUAGUUUUCUUGGAACUCAUAGAAUAAAGUUAUAGCUGAUUGGGUGGUCAUGAAAGAAAACGAGUUUUUAAAGGAAGAUAA